Molecule: ribosomal RNA, 615 nt
Filed under: Eubacterium sp. AF22-9
Lineage: Bacteria; Bacillati; Bacillota; Clostridia; Eubacteriales; Eubacteriaceae
Description: partial 23S ribosomal RNA
Rfam family: Bacterial large subunit ribosomal RNA
Source: RNAcentral
GGUGGAUGCCUAGGCACUGAGAGCCGAUGAAAGACGUGAUAAGCUGCGAUAAGCUGCGGUAAGGAGCAAAUAUCCAUUGACCCGCAGAUUUCUGAAUGGGGAAACCUACGCAAGAAGACCUUGCGUACUCAUACAUGAAUACAUAGUGUAUGAGAGGGAACCCGGGGAACUGAAACAUCUAAGUACCCGGAGGAAGAGAAAGAAACAUCGAUUUCCUGAGUAGCGGCGAGCGAAAGGGAAAGAGCCCAAACCAGAGGAUUUAUCCACUGGGGUUAGGACUGCAUAAUUGAUCUGCAAUUGAUAGGAGAACGGUCUGGGAAGUCCGGCGAGAAAGCGUGAAAGCCGCGUAUCCGAAAUCGAAAGCAGCAAGGCAGUAUCCAGAGUACCACGAGACACGAGAAACCUUGUGGGAAUGAGCGGAGACCACUCCGUAAGGCUAAAUACUACUCAGUGACCGAUAGCGCAUAGUACUGUGAAGGAAAGGUGAAAAGGACCCCGGGAGGGGAGUGAAAGAGAACCUGAAACCCUGUGUUUACAAGCUGUCGAAGCACAUAAGUGCGACGGCGUACUUUUUGUAGAACGGUCCGGCGAGUUAUGAUGAGUGGUAAGGUUAAG